Molecule: transfer RNA, 55 nt
Filed under: Loxodonta africana (African savanna elephant)
Lineage: Eukaryota; Metazoa; Chordata; Mammalia; Proboscidea; Elephantidae
Rfam family: tRNA
About the family: Transfer RNA (tRNA) molecules are approximately 80 nucleotides in length. Their secondary structure includes four short double-helical elements and three loops (D, anti-codon, and T loops). Further hydrogen bonds mediate the characteristic L-shaped molecular structure. tRNAs have two regions of fundamental functional importance: the anti-codon, which is responsible for specific mRNA codon recognition, and the 3' end, to which the tRNAs corresponding amino acid is attached (by aminoacyl-tRNA synthetases). tRNAs cope with the degeneracy of the genetic code in two manners: having more than one tRNA (with a specific anti-codon) for a particular amino acid; and 'wobble' base-pairing, i.e. permitting non-standard base-pairing at the 3rd anti-codon position.
Source: Rfam by way of RNAcentral
GGUUCAGUGGUAGAAUGCUUGCCUUUCAUGCGGGAGGUCUGGGUUCGAUUCCUGG